RNAcentral lists this ribosomal RNA (531 nucleotides) under uncultured bacterium. RNAcentral's name for it is "partial 16S ribosomal RNA". It matches the Rfam family "Bacterial small subunit ribosomal RNA", at positions 356 to 881 of the family's 1533-position model. The record is from RNAcentral.
UGGGGAAUUCGGACAAUGGGCGAAAGCCUGAUCCAGCAAUGCCGCGUGUGUGAAGAAGGCCUUCGGGUUGUAAAGCACUUUUGUCCGGAAAGAAAUCCUUGGCUCUAAUACAGUCGGGGGAUGACGGUACCGGAAGAAUAAGCACCGGCUAACUACGUGCCAGCAGCCGCGGUAAUACGUAGGGUGCAAGCGUUAAUCGGAAUUACUGGGCGUAAAGCGUGCGCAGGCGGUUUGCUAAGACCGACGUGAAAUCCCCGGGCUUAACCUGGGAACUGCAUUUGUGACUGGCGGGCUAGAGUAUGGCAGAGGGGGGUAGAAUUCCACGUGUAGCAGUGAAAUGCGUAGAGAUGUGGAGGAAUACCGAUGGCGAAGGCAGCCCCCUGGGCCAAUACUGACGCUCAUGCACGAAAGCGUGGGGAGCAAACAGGAUUAGAUACCCUGGUAGUCCACGCCCUAAACGAUGUCAACUAGUUGUCGGGUCUUCAUUGACUUGGUAACGUGCUAACGCGUGAAGUUGACCGCCUGGGGAGU